This 76-nucleotide small RNA is filed under the name Xanthomonas hortorum. RNAcentral's name for it is "sX9 sRNA". It matches the Rfam family "Xanthomonas sRNA sX9". The record is from RNAcentral. Lineage: Bacteria; Pseudomonadati; Pseudomonadota; Gammaproteobacteria; Lysobacterales; Lysobacteraceae. RNAcentral also lists the same sequence under 5 other names.
AUGUACCGCUCGUACACUCCGGUUCCUGCGCGCCGCCCGCACCCACCUGACGACCGCUCGCUACGUUUUGUUAGCC